AGUGUAAUUUUCUCCCAACUUAGGCGUAAGAGAUGCACACCACGAUCUUAAUUUUCAAAAAGCCUUCGUUUCGUUUGUUCAAAUUUGAAUUUUCUUUAGUAAGAAACAGGAAGUGAAAGCAAAGAUGGCGGGAACAGGUCUACCACAAAAUCUCCCUUUUCUUUUACAUCGGCUUGCUUCAGAUAAAUCCAGAGAAGGCCAGAAUUGCUCUGAUUCAAGAUGAAACAUCCACUGCUGGAUCUGAUGAAGGAGUUUAAGGAUUUCUUACAUAAUGGUAGCUGUCACUUGAGAUUGGAUUCAACAUGGGAGUCAACCAAGGGCAACCAGAACUUUCGUUUAGUGCUUUUCCUAUUAGCAGGUUCCAAUUUGUUGCUUUUCUUGGAUCUUCUGCCCCUAUCACCGUUCGAGUUUUCAAAGAGAUUAAACAGCAUUACAUAAUUUUUGGAAUUAUUUCAUACCCGAGAACAUAGAUAUCAACAGCAUCCUGGGGUUUCAGCCAUUCUUCUAAAUCAACAGCUAAACUUCCUACAGGAGCUCUUCCAGCAACAUUCCAAGUUCCUACAAAAAUCCUGAGCCAUGGAGGAAAGUUAGCUAAAUUGAACUUUAACCCCCCCUUUUUUUUUCCUUUAUUGUUUAAGCCUGUAAAACUCACCUUAACUCAUUAGUUGAAGUGCAUGGAUCUAUCUCUAACGAACUAACAUAAAUGUCUUCCAUGAAA
Molecule: long non-coding RNA, 718 nt
Organism: Gossypium arboreum
Lineage: Eukaryota; Viridiplantae; Streptophyta; Magnoliopsida; Malvales; Malvaceae
Exons: 4
Source: RefSeq, a predicted model, not a curated record